AAAUCAUGAAAAGUAGUCCCGUUGAAAACCACGAAUUAGCGACCACCGGAAGAAGAGGAGAGUCGGGUGCACGCUUCCCACGCUCCGGAUAAGCAGUAGAGAACUCGGGCAGUCAUCUCUGCGUGGCCUUGAAAAUAAUGAGGGUAGAGCGAUUCUGAAUACGAGUCUAAAAUAAGUGAACCGCCUCACCUUCUCCGGAAUUCAGCAAGCGUCAACAUGUCCACCUCUACAUACAAUGUUUGUGUUACUACUACUACUACUACUACUACCACUACUACUACUACUACUACAAGAAGGAGCCAGCAAUGAGAAAAGUGACUGUGUGGCCAGGUAGCGUCUGAUUGGCUCACCUGUGAAGAGUGGCAGGUGAAGCACAGGUGAAGAGAGGGAGAGGUUAGGGAAUGCUUGAUAAUGUCACUACUACUACUACUACUACUACUACUACUACUACUACUACUACUACUACUACUACUACUACUACUACUACUACUGCAGGUUUAAUUCGGGUUCUCGUUGUGUUUGUUUAACUUUUGCUAAUGGCUGUUAUUAAAGUUAGAAGCAGU
This is a long non-coding RNA of Scylla paramamosain (green mud crab), 563 nucleotides long. RefSeq lists it as uncharacterized. NCBI's taxonomy places the organism in Eukaryota, Metazoa, Arthropoda, Malacostraca, Decapoda, Portunidae. The record is from RefSeq and is a predicted model, not a curated record. The transcript is spliced from 5 exons.